This 468-nucleotide ribosomal RNA is filed under the name uncultured bacterium. RNAcentral describes it as "partial 16S ribosomal RNA". It matches the Rfam family "Bacterial small subunit ribosomal RNA", at positions 28 to 507 of the family's 1533-position model. The record is from RNAcentral.
GACGAACGCUGGCGGCGUGCUUAACACAUGCAAGUCGAACGGAAAGGCCCUGCUUUCGUGGGGUGCUCGAGGGGCGAACGCGUGAGUAACACGUGUGUAACCUGCUCUUGACUUUGGGAUAACUUCAGGUAACUGGGGCUACUACCGGAUAGGAGCUCCUGCUGCAUGGUGGGGGUUGGAACGUUUCGGCGGUUGGGGCUGGACUCGCGGCUUAUCAGCUUGUUGGUUGGGUAGUGGCUUACCAAGGGAUUGACGGGUAGCCGGCAUGGGAGGGUGACCGGGCACAUUGGUACUGAGGGACGGCCCAGACUGCUACAGGGGGCAGCAGUGGGGAAUAUUGCACAAUGAGCGGAAGCGGGAUGCGACAACGCCGCGUGCGGGAAGACGUCUUGCUGGUUAUAAACCGCUUUAGCCUGUGACGAAGCGUGAGUGACGGUAAUGGGUAAAGAAGCACCGGCUAACUACGUG